RNAcentral lists this unclassified non-coding RNA (266 nucleotides) under Agaricomycetes sp. RNAcentral describes it as "partial contains 5.8S ribosomal RNA, internal transcribed spacer 2, and large subunit ribosomal RNA". Lineage: Eukaryota; Fungi; Basidiomycota; Agaricomycetes. The record is from RNAcentral.
CGCAUCUUGCACUCUCUGGUAUUCCGGAGAGUAUGCCUGUUCGAGUGUCGUGAAGUUCUCAAGACUCUCUUUUGAGUCUUGGAGUUGGAGCCUGUCGGCGCGAGUCGACUGCUCUGAAAUGUAUUAGCCAUGGCGAACACGAUCGGCUUGAGUGUAAUAAAUCUUUUAUAUGCACGACGGUCCGAGAGUACACACCGGGCUCACAAAACCCCUUACUUUUUUUCACCUUUGACCUCGAAUCAGGUAGGAUUACCCGCUGAACUUAA